RNAcentral lists this transfer RNA (82 nucleotides) under Takifugu rubripes (torafugu). Its description in RNAcentral is "tRNA-Leu (AAG) (tRNA-Leu-AAG-6-1)". It matches the Rfam family "tRNA". From Rfam's summary of the family: Transfer RNA (tRNA) molecules are approximately 80 nucleotides in length. Their secondary structure includes four short double-helical elements and three loops (D, anti-codon, and T loops). Lineage: Eukaryota; Metazoa; Chordata; Actinopteri; Tetraodontiformes; Tetraodontidae. The record is from RNAcentral.
GGUAGCGUGGCCGAGCGGUCCAAGGCGCUGGAUUAAGGCGCCAGUCUCUUCGGGGGCGUGGGUUCAAAUCCCACCGCUGCCA